Molecule: long non-coding RNA, 187 nt
Organism: Etheostoma spectabile (orangethroat darter)
Lineage: Eukaryota; Metazoa; Chordata; Actinopteri; Perciformes; Percidae
Exons: 3
Source: RefSeq, a predicted model, not a curated record
UUCACUCUCUCGUCUCUCAUCACUAAUCCCAUAUGUAUGGCUUCAGCACAAUGAAGAAAAUAAAUCUGCACACAAAGAAUUCAGGAUUUCUUCGUGUUCAUGAAUAGACAGAGUUUAGCUCACUGUUUAGUUGAAGUUGCUACACCUCAGCGAGAACAGUACAGGCCCUUAUGAAACAUUGUGAAAA